This 760-nucleotide ribosomal RNA is filed under the name uncultured eukaryote. RNAcentral's name for it is "SSU rRNA". It matches the Rfam family "Eukaryotic small subunit ribosomal RNA", at positions 382 to 1149 of the family's 1831-position model. The record is from RNAcentral.
UCCGGAGAGGGAGCCUGAGAAACGGCUACCACAUCUAAGGAAGGCAGCAGGCUCGAAAAUUACCCAAUCCCGACUCGGGGAGGUAGUGACAAGAAAUAACGAUACGGGGUCUUAAUAGGUCUCGCAAUUGGAAUGAGUACAAUUUAAAUCCUUUAACGAGGAUCAAUUGGAGGGCAAGUCUGGUGCCAGCAGCCGCGGUAAUUCCAGCUCCAAUAGCGUAUAUUAAAGUUGUUGCAGUUAAAAAGCUCGUAGUUGGAUUUCGGAGUGGGCCAGUUGGUCCGCCGCAAGGUGUGUUACUGACUGGUUUGCUCUUCUUCGCAAAGACUGCGUGUGCUCUUUAGUGAGUGUGCGUAGGAUUUACGACGUUUACUUUGAAAAAAUUAGAGUGUUCAAAGCAGGCUAUUGCUUGAAUACAUGAGCAUGGAAUAAUGGAAUAGGACUUUGGUCCCAUUUUGUUGGUUUCUAGGACCGAAGUAAUGAUUAAGAGGGACAAUUGGGGGCAUCCGUAUUUCGUUGUCAGAGGUGAAAUUCUUGGAUUUACGAAAGACGAACAACUGCGAAAGCACUUGCCAAGAGUGUUUUCAUUAAUCAAGAACGAAAGUUAGAGGAUCGAAGACGAUCAGAUACCGUCCUAGUUCUAACCAUAAACGAUGUCGACUAGGGAUCAGCGGGCGUUAUCGUACGACCCCGUUGGCACCUUACGGGAAACCAAAGUUUUUGGAUUCCGGGGGAAGUAUGGUUGCAAAGCUGAAACUUAAAG